RNAcentral lists this ribosomal RNA (253 nucleotides) under uncultured bacterium. Its description in RNAcentral is "partial 16S ribosomal RNA". It matches the Rfam family "Bacterial small subunit ribosomal RNA", at positions 524 to 776 of the family's 1533-position model. The record is from RNAcentral.
CACGUAGGGCGCAAGCGUUGUCCGGAAUUAUUGGGCGUAAAGAGCUCGUAGGCGGUCUGUUACGUCUGCUGUGAAAACCCGGGGCUUAACCCUGGGCUUGCAGUGGAUACGGGCAGACUAGAGGCAGGUAGGGGAGAAUGGAAUUCCCGGUGUAGCGGUGAAAUGCGCAGAUAUCAGGAGGAACACCGGUGGCGAAGGCGGGUCUCUGGGCCGAUACUGACACUGAGGAGCGAAAGCGUGGGGAGCGAACAGG